CUGAAAUCCUGUGUGGUUUUUCACAGCGUCUUUACUGAGAUGAUUGUCUUCCUUCCUUCUGAGUCUAGUCCAGGCACAGUCAGUGAAAUGAAGGAUCUGUAGGCCAUUCACUCGAUCACUUGGAAGCAGAUUACACACACGAUCAGCUCUUCGUAUUAACCAAAAGGAAGUGUGGAGGCUGUCUGGAGAAGGGGCCUCACCAAGAAGGGAGGAAGUGGAUCUCCCAUAAGAAGUACCCAAAGAGGUCUGUCUACACAGCAGAUUCCCGCAGGAAGAGAUGGCCAUGCUGUGGAAGUGAGUUAUUAUCAUUCCUGUGCUUCUCUGGUGAACCCAGAUGGACCCGUGGAUGCUUUGGGUAGCCAAGGUUCUCACGUACUUUCUUAAUUACUGUAAUCAGCUCCUUGAAGUCAGCUCAUGGAGGCGCCUCACAGGAAAGAAUGGGCAGUGUUGCUAUUGCCAACUGCUUGGGAUGGGCAAACACCCAGGGCGAGGAGUGGUCAGUGCCUGCGUUUCACUCCCCUUUCCUCCUGGAGCAGCCCCACCAUCACCUCAGACAACUCACAUCACUGAAACGGAAAAUGUAAGCCAACCUACUUCUCUUUACCUUCAUGAAUGCUUUAAACACUCUUGGAAAAUCUGAGGGCUCCUCACGUGUUCUCAGAUACAUUCCUUUGCUCCUGAUGGAGGUGAAAAGAUAUGGUGGUCAGUAGAAGGGAUCUGGGCCAUGCCAGCAGACACUGUGGGACUGUGGAACCAUGUAACUGGAGACAAGCAGUGAACACCUUCUCCACAGGGAAACUCCAAUUGCCCUGAGCCUCGUCGAAGGCUGGCUCAGCAGCUUCCUUGCCUGUUAACCUAACGUUCCACAUGGGGCCCUCCUACAAUGGCGGUUGAAGCCUGGUAAUUAGAUUGUGAGCAUUGCUGUGAAGGAGGCACAUUGCCAGCAACCGGGUGGCAUUGACAAGGCUUGGUCCCACUAGGUACAAUGUGUGGGGGCUUAAAAAAAAAUCUCAGCUCUCUUUUUUUCUCUAACUCCUUUGAUGGAUCUCAAAAAAGUCCUGCACUCCUUCAUCCACCCCACCCCUCCACAAUCAAGGGCAAACACCGGAAGAAUGCAAUAAUCAUAAUCAUAGGGAUAGGAAAAUGAUACUCUUAACGAUCAGACAUUCAAGUGAGAUUUAAUGAACACAACUUUACUUCACGUACUUUUAAUACAUUUCACGUACCACACAGCAAUUUACUGGGACAUGGAUUUUAACACGCUAGGCUAAUGGCAAGAUAAGAAUUACUGAGUUGAAUGUGGGUUCACUAUGCGGGAACCCUUUUAUAGUGUUGACUCUGAGGAACAGGGCUAACACCCUGUUUAUGGACGCGUUGAGAGGAAUUGUGCUUUUACUAUGUGUGGUUGUUAUGUUUCAAGGGACAUGAUUUCACUGGUAGAUUUGCCAAAUUUUUGCAAUAACAUGAUUCUACUGUAUUUCUAUUUUAA
RNAcentral lists this long non-coding RNA (1489 nucleotides) under Ursus maritimus (polar bear). Its description in RNAcentral is "lncRNA (ENSUMAG00000022615.1)". The record is from RNAcentral. Lineage: Eukaryota; Metazoa; Chordata; Mammalia; Carnivora; Ursidae.